Non-coding RNA from Erinaceus europaeus (western European hedgehog), 84 nucleotides. The record is from Rfam. NCBI's taxonomy places the organism in Eukaryota, Metazoa, Chordata, Mammalia, Eulipotyphla, Erinaceidae.
AGUUGGUUCAAGAGUUGUGGUUUAUUGUUAAGCUGUUUAACAUUGUCUGCCAUCCACAACCGCAUUUGACUGACUUAAGAUUUU